RNAcentral lists this ribosomal RNA (199 nucleotides) under uncultured bacterium. RNAcentral describes it as "partial 16S ribosomal RNA". It matches the Rfam family "Bacterial small subunit ribosomal RNA", at positions 1300 to 1500 of the family's 1533-position model. The record is from RNAcentral.
GUGGUCUGCAACUCGACCACACGAAGCUGGAAUCGCUAGUAAUCGCGAAUCAGCAUGUCGCGGUGAAUACGUUCCCGGGCCUUGUACACACCGCCCGUCACACCAUGAGAGUUGGGAAUACCCGAAGCCUGUGAGCCAACAAACGAGGCAGCAGUCGAAGGUAGAAUCAAUGAUUGGGGUGAAGUCGUAACAAGGUAGC